This 3399-nucleotide unclassified non-coding RNA is filed under the name Hevea brasiliensis (rubber tree). The record is from RNAcentral. Lineage: Eukaryota; Viridiplantae; Streptophyta; Magnoliopsida; Malpighiales; Euphorbiaceae.
UCUUCUUCUUCUUCUUCUUCUAAUAAAACCCUACAGUUACAUUCUAACAACACCAAAGCCAUCUUUGAGUCUCCUACUAAAAAGGUGGAAUCUUUGCCUACUGUAACCAGAUUACUACCCACUUCGGUUAUACCCAAAGUAAAGUCUGGUCAGUUUCUUUCUGUUAUGUGUUAUCUGCUCUACAUGGCCUUGUACGUUUAUAUGGAGAUUGCUUCUUUUAAAAAACAAAGAUACCUCUUUCUUCAGAAUUGUCUCAAAUUAUGGUUCUCAGAUAAAUUGACUAAUCUUUUGCUUUCCUGCCGUUGUAACUAUCUUUGCACCGGUUUCAUUGUUAUCUAGCUAUAUAGUGACUCUUAUCUGCUUUUGUGGCCUUGUGCUUGAGAAGAUGAAAGCUCAAAGGGUUUACCAAAGCUCUAUGUCAAAUUUAUUCUUCAUGCCAGUGGAAAUAUUGCUGCUAAAUUUUCAUAUGACCCGGUAUUAGUAGCUGCUAUCCACAAGAUCGCUAGAGCCACUUGGAAUGCGAAAGAGAGAUUAUGGAUUUUCCCAAUGUCCUCUUUGUUGUCAGCUGAAAAAGUUUUCAGUGAAAUAUCUAGUUUUAAUGUUGAGGUAGAAAACUUAGAUCCCUUGGUGCAACGUGCUAUUACUGCUGCUUCUGCUGUUCCAGAUCUUCGAGACUGGUAUGACAAGAUACCUAAUUAUGUCGAGUCAAAGCUUCUGCCUUUUCAGCGGGAUGGUGUUAGGUUUGUGUUGCAGCAUGGAGGGCGUGCACUCUUAGCCGAUGAAAUGGGACUAGGAAAGACUUUACAGGCUAUUGCUGUAACUUCAUGCCUUCGUGAUUUCUGGCCUGUUCUAAUACUCACACCAUCUUCCCUGCGUUUGCAUUGGGCUUCAAUGAUUCAACAAUGGCUGAAUAUUCCUUCAUCAGAUAUACUUGUUGUUUUAUCACAAUGGAGUGGAUCAAACAGAGGUGGAUUCUCAUUAGUAUCAUCGAAUAUCAAGCACAAUAUUCAUCUUGAUGGUCUAUUCAACAUAAUCUCUUAUGAUGUAGUCCCUAAGUUGCAGAAUGUUCUAAUGGCAUCAGAAUUUAAGGUUGUGAUUGCAGAUGAGUCGCACUUCAUGAAAAAUGCUCAAGCAAAGAGGACAACUGCCUCUCUUCCAGUUAUAAAGAAAGCUCAAUAUGCAAUACUGCUUAGUGGAACUCCUGCUUUAUCCAGACCAAUAGAGCUAUUCAAACAGCUGGAAGCUUUGUAUCCUGGUGUGUACAAGAAUGUUCAUGAAUAUGGUAACCGAUAUUGCAAGGGGGGAAUUUUUGGAGUUUAUCAAGGUGCAAGUAACCAUGAAGAAUUGCACAACUUGAUGAAGGCAACAGUUAUGAUUCGCAGACUUAAAAAGGAUGUUCUUUCUGAACUUCCUGUAAAGCGUCGACAGCAAGUUUUCUUAGAUUUGGUGGAGAAGGACAUGAAAAAAAUCAACGCUUUAUUCCGUGAGUUGGAGUUUGUAAAAGGAAAAAUUAAGGCAUGCUUAUCUGCUGAGGAGGUUGAAUCACUAAAGUUUUCUGAGAAGAAUCUUAUUAAUAAGAUAUAUACUGACUCUGCUGAAGCCAAGAUCCCUGGGGUCAUAGAUUAUCUGGGAACUGUCAUCGAGGCAGGCUGUAAAUUUCUAAUAUUUGCUCAUCAUCAACCCAUGAUUGAUUCAAUACACGAGUUUCUUAUUGUAAGACCACUUAAUUUUUUUUUGAUAAUUCCUUUAGAUUUGCUCAUAAUGGAACCUUCAAAAUCUCCAGAAAAAGAAAGUGGGUUGCAUUCGCAUUGAUGGCAGCACUCCUCCGGCAUCAAGGCAAGCAUUAGUUACUGAUUUCCAGGAAAAGGAUGCUAUAAAGGCAGCAGUGCUUUCUAUCAGAGCUGGAGGUGUUGGGUUAACUUUAACGGCUGCAAGCACUGUUAUCUUUGCUGAGUUGUCUUGGACUCCUGGCGACCUAAUACAAGCUGAAGAUAGGGCUCACAGGAUUGGCCAGGUAAACUAUUAGCAAUUAGAGAUAUGGAAUUCUAGAAUAUUGAAUAGAAGUUGUCAAUCAUAUUGAUGUUUCAUUUCUAGAAAGGGUAUGAUUGGGAUGCUCUCUACAAGGAUUAGAAGCCCUGAAUUUAGCAUGACUAAGGUUUGGUUUAGCUUAGUAUUUAGCCCUAAUAGCAGUUUUACACUAUAGGAUCUUCAUUUUUGUUGUUUGUCACAUUAAAUGUUUCACUGAGUUAUCAGAAAUAUUCGUACUCUCUAAAGAUGAUGAUUGCAGUGCUUUUUGCCAAGUGGUGGUCUGUAAUGGGUGGUAGCUUGCUCAUGAAUUGGGAUCCAUGUGGAGCAGUACUUGUGGAACCACAAACAAAUGGGUGUGGAGGCAUGUUGAUAAGAUUUUGUGUUUGUAACUUGUUAGGGCAUGGCAUAUGAGGUUUUAGGACCGUAGGUGAGGCCUUGGCAUCAUUGCAUGCACAGAUAAUCAGAUAUGUAUUUGAAUGAUGUGCAGGCACUAUAUUUUAUCCGAAACUAAAGCAAUCUCACUGGAAACCAGAUUUGAUUUGCUCCCACACUAAGGAUUUGGAUUAUAUCUAAGUUUCCUUCAUAUGCUUGUUAUUACUGUUGAAUUUUGUUUUUUUUUUUAUGAUUUUUAUUUUUAAAUUUACUUGGGAAUUGUGGUGUUGCAUGUAUGAAUAUACUGGCUCCAGUGAUUAAGAACCCAGGAUGACAACAGUCACUGCUAUCAUUCCUGAGUCUUGUAUUCUACUCUGAGACACAACCCCAAAACUCAACUACAUGUUUACAACACCAUGACACUACUAAAAAAGAGAGGCCCUUCACCCCUUGUCAUUACUUGGUGGAUCAAUCUAUUGAAGAUUCAUUAGAUUGUCUGAUCUGUAAAGAACAUUGAAUUCUCAUCUUUAGAUGUCAGAAAGAGACCUCCGCACCCAAGGAUACAAGCAAGCUUUAUUACCAUUUUGACCCUCUAUUUUGCUAGGGUACACUGUUUUGAGUAGAAAUCUCCCAAAGAACUUCACAUAUAAAGCUGGCAUGAAGAACUUGCUGACCCCUCUUUGGUUGAAAUUUUCCCUAUGAUUGUUACAUGACAUCUUGUCCUUAGGGAUGAGCAUUCAGUUUCACCGAACCAAAUUCCAGCUAACCAAAUUAUUUAAUAUCUAAAUAAUAACGGAAUCAAUCAGAAAUCAAAAGAAAACUGAACAUAACCAAAACUGAAAAUAUUUGGUCUGUUUUCUUUUGUCUGUUAUAACUGAACUAAUUGAAAAAAGUUAAUUAUUAAUUAAUAAAAUAUUAAUAAAAAUGUAUUUAUAAUUAUUUAAAAAUAAUACACAUAAUAUAUUUUUAAUAAAAGAAUUAUUAUAAAUUGAAAUUAUU